GACGAACGCUGGCGGCGUGCUUAACACAUGCAAGUCGAACGGUGAAGCGCCUUCCUUUUUGGUGGGUGUGGAUGAGUGGCGAACGGGUGAGUAACACGUGAGUAACCUGCCCCCUUCUUCUGGAUAACCGCAUGAAAGUGUGGCUAAUACGGGAUAUUCUGGGUCUGUCGCAUGAUGGGUCUGGGAAAGAUAUUGUUUCGGUGGGGGAUGGGCUCGCGGCCUAUCAGCCUGUUGGUGGGGUGAUGGCCUACCAAGGCGGUGACGGGUAGCCGGCCUGAGAGGGUGGACGGUCACACUGGGACUGAGACACGGCCCAGACUCCUACGGGAGGCAGCAGUGGGGAAUAUUGCACAAUGGGCGCAAGCCUGAUGCAGCGACGCCGCGUGAGGGAUGGAGGCCUUCGGGUUGUGAACCUCUUUCGCCAGUGAAGCAGGCCUGCCUCGUUUGUGGGUGGGUUGACGGUAGCUGGAUAAGAAGCGCCGGCUAACUACGU
Molecule: ribosomal RNA, 493 nt
Filed under: uncultured bacterium
Lineage: Bacteria
Description: partial 16S ribosomal RNA
Rfam family: Bacterial small subunit ribosomal RNA
Source: RNAcentral